This 83-nucleotide ribosomal RNA is filed under the name Firmicutes bacterium HGW-Firmicutes-1. RNAcentral's name for it is "partial 23S ribosomal RNA". It matches the Rfam family "Bacterial large subunit ribosomal RNA", at positions 2843 to 2925 of the family's 2925-position model. Lineage: Bacteria; Bacillati; Bacillota. The record is from RNAcentral.
GACUACCAGGUUGAUAGGCUAAGGGUGUAAGCAUGGUAACAUGUUCAGCUGAUUAGUACUAAUAGGUCGAGGGCUUGACCAAG